GUUCAAGCUCGUUGGAAAUUCGGUAAUCUCGCUUAAUCCCAACUUGGGUACCCUUUAAUUAUUAUUUGUGGUUCACUAAUUACUUAAUUAAUUAAUUAACGUUUACCUUAUUUUUUGAUUUUAUUAUGGUUUCACUGUUUCGAAGAAACUGUCGGUGGGUUUGUUUUGUGGUGGCGGUGUGGAGAUUGACUGGGCAGAGAGGCGGUCGUCUCCAUGCUGUCUAUGUCUGGAUUUGACACGUGGCAUGUGCCUUUUCAUUUUAUGGUGCGCACAUGUUAACUCGAGAAAAUUAUUUAAAGUAAAAAUACUUUAGAAAAUUAAAUAGCAAAUGAAAUUUAAUUGCAAUUAAAAUAAAAUUUAAUUAUACCGUUAAAAACAGUUUUCUUAUUUCAUUUUAAUUUUUUAAUAAGCUUUUUUGUUUUUAUAAAUUCACUAUUAAUUCAUUAAAAAAAGUGUGUUUUCUUUUAUUUUUGCAGGUUUUGUUUUGUAUAUU
RNAcentral lists this unclassified non-coding RNA (493 nucleotides) under Hevea brasiliensis (rubber tree). The record is from RNAcentral. Lineage: Eukaryota; Viridiplantae; Streptophyta; Magnoliopsida; Malpighiales; Euphorbiaceae.